Non-coding RNA from Brachypodium distachyon (stiff brome), 125 nucleotides. Lineage: Eukaryota; Viridiplantae; Streptophyta; Magnoliopsida; Poales; Poaceae. The record is from Rfam.
AUUCUACUCCCUCCGACCGGUAUUACUUGUUUCAAAUUUGCCCAAAUACGGAUGUAUCCAAGCGUAAAAAGCAUCUAGAUACAUGUAAUAUUUCGACAAGUAAUUCCGGCCGGAGGGAGUAGCUG